CCCCUUGUGGCUCAGCUGGUAAAGAAUCUGCCUGCAAUGCAGGAGACCUGGGUUCAAUUCCUGGGAUGGGAA
Molecule: non-coding RNA, 72 nt
Organism: Bos taurus (domestic cattle)
Lineage: Eukaryota; Metazoa; Chordata; Mammalia; Artiodactyla; Bovidae
Source: Rfam